RNAcentral lists this ribosomal RNA (492 nucleotides) under Triticum aestivum (bread wheat). Its description in RNAcentral is "partial small subunit ribosomal RNA". The record is from RNAcentral. Lineage: Eukaryota; Viridiplantae; Streptophyta; Magnoliopsida; Poales; Poaceae.
AUGGGUGAAUUGGCAAAGGCUGUUGUGGAAAGGAAGCAAAUUCCUGAUAUCAUAGUAAACAAUGCUGGUACAAUAAACAAGAAUAACAAAACGUGGAAUGUUCCAGCAGAAGAAUUUGAUACGGUGGUUGAUACAAAUAUUAAAGGAACAGCAAAUGUACUUCGCCAUUUUGUACCACUUAUGAUACAGAAGAAACAUGGGAUGAUAAUCAAUUUAUCCUCUGGUUGGGGAAGGUCUGCUGCUGCAGAGGUUGCACCAUAUUGUGCUUCAAAGUGGGCUAUUGAAGGUUUAACACGCUCAUUAGCAAAGGAGUUGCCUCCUGGAUUGGCAGCAAUUGCUCUUAGCCCUGGUGUUGUGAAUACCGACAUGCUUACUUCAUGCUUUGGAAGUUCAGCUGCGUUAUACCAAUCUACUGAGCAAUGGGCACCCAAGGCAGCCACAAUGAUUCUAAGCCUUUCACUGGAAGAUAAUGGUGCCUCACUAACUGUAUGA